Caenorhabditis elegans is the source of this 21-nucleotide non-coding RNA. The record is from Ensembl. NCBI's taxonomy places the organism in Eukaryota, Metazoa, Nematoda, Chromadorea, Rhabditida, Rhabditidae.
UGCUAUUGUCUUUAAUACAAU